GGUAAGAUGGCUGAAAUAUAUAGGUGGUAGACUGUAAAUCUACUUAUGAGAGUUAUUCUCUCUUACCA
Molecule: transfer RNA, 68 nt
Filed under: Calliptamus barbarus
Lineage: Eukaryota; Metazoa; Arthropoda; Insecta; Orthoptera; Acrididae
Description: tRNA-Tyr
Rfam family: tRNA
About the family: Transfer RNA (tRNA) molecules are approximately 80 nucleotides in length.
Source: RNAcentral